CAAGUCACCCCAUCCCACAACAGGGAGUUCCUUAACUUUCUUUAAACGAAAUGAUAAUAAAUGAUCAUUUCUGUUUGUUGUCAGGUUCCGAAGUCCAUUGAGGGUUGUGGAGGACG
This is a non-coding RNA of Bombyx mori (domestic silkworm), 116 nucleotides long. The record is from RefSeq and is marked provisional. NCBI's taxonomy places the organism in Eukaryota, Metazoa, Arthropoda, Insecta, Lepidoptera, Bombycidae.